GAUGAACGCUGGCGGCGUGCUUAACACAUGCAAGUCGAACGGAGUACCCUUGAAGGAGUUUUCGGACAACUGAUAGGACUACUUAGUGGCGGACGGGUGAGUAACGCGUGAGUAACCUGCCUUGGAGUGGGGAAUAACAGCUGGAAACAGCUGCUAAUACCGCAUGAUAUGUCUGAAUCGCAUGGUUCUGGACAUCAAAGAUUUAUCGCUCUGAGAUGGACUCGCGUCUGAUUAGCUAGUUGGCGGGGUAACGGCCCACCAAGGCGACGAUCAGUAGCCGGACUGAGAGGUUGGCCGGCCACAUUGGGACUGAGACACGGCCCAGACUCCUACGGGAGGCAGCAGUGGGGAAUAUUGGGCAAUGGGCGCAAGCCUGACCCAGCAACGCCGCGUGAAGGAAGAAGGCUUUCGGGUUGUAAACUUCUUUUCUCAGGGACGAAGAAAGUGACGGUAC
Molecule: ribosomal RNA, 454 nt
Filed under: uncultured bacterium
Lineage: Bacteria
Description: bacterial SSU rRNA
Rfam family: Bacterial small subunit ribosomal RNA
Source: RNAcentral